AUACGUAGGGGGCGAGCGUUGUCCGGAAUGAUUGGGCGUAAAGGGCGCGUAGGCGGCCUGUUAAGUCUGGAGUGAAAGUCCUGUUUUCAAGAUGGGAAUUGCUUUGGAUACUGAUGGGCUUGAGUGCAGGAGAGGUUAUCGGAAUUCCCGGUGUAGCGGUGAACUGCGUAGAGAUCGGGAGGAACACCAGUGGCGAAGGCGGGUAACUGGACUGCAACUGACGCUGAGGCGCGAAAGUGUGGGGAGCAAACAGGAUUAGAUACCCUGGUAGUCCACACUGUAAACGAUGAAUGCUAGGUGUAAGAGGUAUCGACCCCUUUUGUGCCGGAGUUAACACAAUAAGCAUUCCGCCUGGGGAGUACGGCCGCAAGGUUGAAACUCAAAGGAAUUGACGGGG
RNAcentral lists this ribosomal RNA (397 nucleotides) under uncultured bacterium. RNAcentral's name for it is "partial 16S ribosomal RNA". It matches the Rfam family "Bacterial small subunit ribosomal RNA", at positions 523 to 918 of the family's 1533-position model. The record is from RNAcentral.